GAUGAACGCUGACAGAAUGCUUAACACAUGCGAGUCCACUUGAAUUUGGGUUUUUAACUUAGGUUUGGGUGGCGGACGGGUGAGUAACGCGUAAAGAACUUGCCUCACAGCUAGGGACAACAUUUGGAAACGAAUGCUAAUACCUAAUAUUAUGAUAAUAGGGCAUCCUAUAAUUAUGAAAGCUAUAAGCGCUGUGAGAGAGCUUUGCGUCCCAUUAGCUAGUUGGAGAGGUAACGGCUCACCAAGGCGAUGAUGGGUAGCCGGCCUGAGAGGGUGAUCGGCCACAAGGGGACUGAGACACGGCCCUUACUCCUACGGGAGGCAGCAGUGGGGAAUAUUGGACAAUGGACCGAGAGUCUGAUCCAGCAAUUCUGUGUGCACGAUGAAGUUUUUCGGAAUGUAAAGUGCUUUCAGUUGGGAAGAAACAAAUGACGGUACCAACAGAAGAAGUGACGGCUAAAUACGUG
This 467-nucleotide ribosomal RNA is filed under the name uncultured bacterium. RNAcentral describes it as "partial 16S ribosomal RNA". It matches the Rfam family "Bacterial small subunit ribosomal RNA", at positions 28 to 507 of the family's 1533-position model. The record is from RNAcentral.